AACCCAGUGUGACUCGUCACACUAUCAUUAACUGAAUCCAUAGGUUAAUGAGGCGAACCGGGGGAACUGAAACAUCUAAGUACCCCGAGGAAAAGAAAUCAACCGAGAUUCCCCCAGUAGCGGCGAGCGAACGGGGAGGAGCCCAGAGCCUGAAUCAGCAUGUGUGUUAGUGGAAGCGUCUGGAAAGGCGCGCGAUACAGGGUGACAGCCCCGUACACAAAAGCGCAUGUGCUGUGAGCUCGAUGAGUAGGGCGGGACACGUGGUAUCCUGUCUGAAUAUGGGGGGACCAUCCUCCAAGGCUAAAUACUCCUGACUGACCGAUAGUGAACCAGUACCGUGAGGGAAAGGCGAAAAGAACCCCGGCGAGGGGAGUGAAAAAGAACCUGAAACCGUGUACGUACAAGCAGUGGGAGCACCCUUUGGGUGUGACUG
RNAcentral lists this ribosomal RNA (433 nucleotides) under Salmonella enterica subsp. enterica serovar Enteritidis. Its description in RNAcentral is "partial 23S ribosomal RNA". It matches the Rfam family "Bacterial large subunit ribosomal RNA", at positions 125 to 599 of the family's 2925-position model. Lineage: Bacteria; Pseudomonadati; Pseudomonadota; Gammaproteobacteria; Enterobacterales; Enterobacteriaceae. The record is from RNAcentral.